Kogia breviceps (pygmy sperm whale) is the source of this 968-nucleotide non-coding RNA. NCBI's taxonomy places the organism in Eukaryota, Metazoa, Chordata, Mammalia, Artiodactyla, Physeteridae. The record is from RefSeq and is a predicted model, not a curated record.
CAUGCGCAGUAGAAGGAGGUCCACGAGCUGCGUGGGUUUGUGCCUGGGCGCCUGUGGUUCGCGGCCUUGUGCUGGCACCGGGGGCGCUGCGUUGGCGAACUUGGCACUCUUGGCGUUGGGUGGGCGGCAUCUUGGGGGUCACAUGAGCCAGUGGCAUCAUGCCUGCGGGCGCUGGGGUCAGGGUCGCGGUUUUUCCGGACGUUCGUCGGUCAAGAGGAAGGGCGGAAAGCACAUCCCGGAAAGAGUUUUGAAAAGAAUCUUGCUCCAGAAGAAUGCUUUUCCCCCUUGGAUCUUUUUUAACAAACUCCAAGAACAGAAUGAAGAACUUGGGCUGAUUAUUGACUUAUCAUAUACUCACCACUAUUAUAAGCCAGAGGACUUACCAGAAACUAUUCGUUAUUUAAGAAUUUGUACAAUUGGGCAUCAGGUGCCAGAUGAUGACACUAUUUUUAAAUUCCAAUGUGCUGUUAAUGGGUUUUUGAAAGAAAAUAAAGAUAAUGACAGACUUAUUGGUGUCCACUGUACCCAUGGUUUAAACAGGACUGGUUACCUCAUCUGCAGAUAGUUGAUUGAUGUAGAAGGCAUGUGGCCAGAUGAUGCAAUUGAAUACUGGUGUUUUAUCUUUACAAGUUCUCCGUCAUUCCAUAAGAAAGCUGCUUUUCUUCUGGUUUCAUAAGAGAUGGUGAACAGUGCCUGGCUUCAGAAAGAGCUGAAUUUUAUGAACUACACACUGUUGGAGUAGUAGAUUGCUAGAAGGAACCAAGAUCCAGAUGACCUUAAAUGGCGGCUUCAUGGAAUUAUAUUCAAGAACGAUGGUCCAGCCAACUUCCUCACUUCCAUUGUGAAAGGAGUUCCCUAUUCCUAAGAAAAUGGACCUAUGUCCGACUGACACAGAAGAUGGAGAUUUAGCCUAGUGCAUUUACAUAUGUAUAUAUAUUAAAAUUGUGUAUAUAUAUAUAUAUAUAUAA